AGCAGUGGGGAAUCUUGCGCAAUGGGCGAAAGCCUGACGCAGCCAUGCCGCGUGAAUGAUGAAGGUCUUAGGAUUGUAAAAUUCUUUCACCGGGGACGAUAAUGACGGUACCCGGAGAAGAAGCCCCGGCUAACUUCGUGCCAGCAGCCGCGGUAAUACGAAGGGGGCUAGCGUUGCUCGGAAUUACUGGGCGUAAAGGGAGCGUAGGCGGACAUUUAAGUCAGGGGUGAAAUCCCGGGGCUCAACCUCGGAAUUGCCUUUGAUACUGGGUGUCUUGAGUAUGAGAGAGGUAUGUGGAACUCCGAGUGUAGAGGUGAAAUUCGUAGAUAUUCGGAAGAACACCAGUGGCGAAGGCGACAUACUGGCUCAUUACUGACGCUGAGGCUCGAAAGCGUGGGGAGCAAACAGGAUUAGAUACCCUGGUAGUCCACGCCGUAAACGAUGAUUGCUAGUUGUCGGGAUGCAUGCAUUUCGGUGACGCAGCUAACGCA
This 491-nucleotide ribosomal RNA is filed under the name uncultured Brevundimonas sp. RNAcentral's name for it is "bacterial SSU rRNA". It matches the Rfam family "Bacterial small subunit ribosomal RNA", at positions 350 to 859 of the family's 1533-position model. Lineage: Bacteria; Pseudomonadati; Pseudomonadota; Alphaproteobacteria; Caulobacterales; Caulobacteraceae. The record is from RNAcentral.